This is a long non-coding RNA of Saccostrea cuccullata (small rock oyster), 798 nucleotides long. RefSeq lists it as uncharacterized. The record is from RefSeq and is a predicted model, not a curated record. The transcript has 3 exons. Lineage: Eukaryota; Metazoa; Mollusca; Bivalvia; Ostreida; Ostreidae.
CUAUAAAAUACUUUUUGUUAAAUAAGUAUAUUAAUCCUACAGGUACAGUGCGAUGUCAAAAAAUUUUAAACACUAUUGCAGGAAAAUAAAGAACUAUAUUCGCUAUGCGUAGUUUAUUUCUGAGGUCUGUCAUACGAUAUUCGGGUAAAGUGAAAGUAGGAGUUGAAUGCCUUGUUUCACUAAAAAGAACAUUGCUCAGAUAUUUCUCUGGACUACCAAUUUCUGUACUUCAUGUGAUGCUUGUGUUGCAGCCCUCCCAAGAACUUCCCUUGUAGGUGUUCUAUAAUAAGAUUUCAAAGAUAAAGAGGAAAUGGUUCUAAUGAUAGAGAUUGUCCAUGUUGGUUUGUCUCAAUCUUUUGGAAAACAGUGUUGGAGAAAAUAUCAGCAACAAAUGAAGACUCUGAUCUAAUUUAUUACUAUGUGACUUGAAAGUUAUUUGAUUUUAUGGUAGUAUUUACACAUGUGUUGAACUUUCCGAAUAUUGUUGAAAAAGAUCAUAUGAUGACAAUAAACAAAAAUACAUAUAAGAACUUUCCACAAGUUUCCAAUGAAGAACAUUUAGGGAUCUUGGUAAAGGAUAUUAUAAUUAGAUUUUUUACCUAAUUUAUAUGUGUUCUUGUGCAGUGCAUUAAAUGCACAAAAUGUUUUUAAAUCAGUCUUUUGAAACCAGUGCUGAGAACACAGGUCUGAGAUAUCCUCAUACUGCAGUUAUAUUGUUAAGAUUGAAGUUUAUUUUUAAAAUUAUACCUUAAUUAUAUCUGUAAAAAAACUUUUUAAAAAAUGAGUCAAAUUUGCAUA